GGGGUGCAGCAGGCGCGAAAACUCUACAAUGCAGGCAACUGCGAUAGGGGGACAUCGAGUGGCAUCCACCUUGGGUGCCUGUCCCACCGUCUAAAAAACGGUGGUUAGCAAGGGCCGGGUAAGACCGGUGCCAGCCGCCGCGGUAAUACCGGCGGCUCGAGUGGUGGCCGAUAUUAUUGAGUCUAAAGGGUCCGUAGCCGGCUUCGCAAGUCCCCUGGGAAAUCCAGCGGCUUAACCGUUGGUCGUCCAUGGGAUACUACGUUGCUUGGGACUGGGAGAGGUGGGAGGUACUCGGGGGGUAGGGGUGAAAUCCUGUAAUCCUCCGGGGACCACCGGUGGCGAAGGCGUCCUACCAGAACAGGUCCGACGGUGAGGGACGAAAGCUAGGGGCACGAACCGGAUUAGAUACCCGGGUAGUCCUAGCCGUAAACGAUGCCCGCUAGGUGUCACGACAGUCGUGAAUUAUCGUGGUGCCGUAGGGAAGCCGCGAAGCGGGCCACUUGGGAAGUACGACCGCAAGGUUGAAACUUAAAGGAAUUGGCGGGGGAGCAC
RNAcentral lists this ribosomal RNA (552 nucleotides) under uncultured archaeon. RNAcentral describes it as "bacterial SSU rRNA". It matches the Rfam family "Archaeal small subunit ribosomal RNA", at positions 327 to 879 of the family's 1478-position model. The record is from RNAcentral.